GAUUCUCUAUUUUAGUGUUUAUUUCUUUCGUGUUAUUUCAAUCCUCUCUCCCCCACUCUCUCUCUCAGAUAAGAUAUUCCAAGAAUGAAAAUUUAGCUAAUAUCCUAACAAAUCUUCUAAUUAUACGUUCUAUAUAAGAACGUAAUUGCUGUCGGUAAUACUAGCAAUAAAAUAUACGUUUAAAGAAGAAAAAAUGACAGAAAAAAUUUCGAAGAAUUACUUAAUUUCAUUAUCUUAAUGUUCAAUGAAUCGUUAAAUAAACAUUGAAUAAUAUACAAGGUGUUCGGCUAUGUCAGAAAAUUUAAGGCGUGAUUCGUGAAGCCGAAAUAAGACGAAAAUCAAGAAUAAAAAAUUGCCUUUUCGGCUUUGCUUUUUAGUUAUUGACAAUUAAAAAUCGUCCAAAAUAUUCCUGCACGCAGGCAACCUUCCUUACAGAAGUGAAAGAGGCUCAGCCUACGCAACGAAGCGCACAGUGAUCCUCAAGUCGAACGACACAUAGGCGGCAGCCCACUCUAUACAGCAAAGCAAUUAAUCUUAUAACUGAUAUAAUUAUUAAUAAUAUAAUUAUAAUAUAAUAACGGCAAGUAAUAGGAGCUAAGUAGCUGCAAUUCAAGCGGCGAAAUAGGAAUUCGGUGACGGUCAAUCCUUGUUUUUUCCGCUGAAACUUGGAGUUAUUUCGUGCACGGGGGUGCGUCGUGUAGGUUCGUUAGUUCUUUGAGAGAUCGUGAUUUCGUUCGUUUCGGGCAUGCCGCCAUUUUUCUUUCAUGGUUUGAUCGAUCGAGGUUCCCCUUGUUUACCCAUUUUUAAGGAAAGCUUAUUGCAGUCAUGUUAGAAUUUAUAACUUUACGAAAUUGUAUAUACAAUGUCAGUAGCUUUAUUUUCUUUUUCUCGUUCCAAGUUAGACAAAUGUGUUUUUGAUACUCAAUGCUGUCAGUAGGGCUACGAAUUAUUGUACGAUGUUUAUAAAAAUCGAUGUUAUCAUUGUGUAAGAUAUAAGUAUUGCGCGAUGUACAUAUGUUUUGUUUGAAAUUUGGAAACAAGUGUUGCGUGGAUGACGAAUGUUUUGUUUACUGCGUAGUAAUGUUUACGUUUUUUUUUGUAGAUCGCUUAACUUUCCGUAUCGGCUUGCGUGACCCCCCACCGCUUUGGAAGUUGCGCAGCGAGACUAAGGUACGAGAGGUCAUUCAGUUGUUUUAUUUCGUGCCAAUAACAAGGUUCGUGUUGAGUCAGGUGUGUAACGUAUUCUAACCUAUUGGUGACGCGUUUUCGGUGGUGUUAUUUCUUCAUUAUCUUUUUGCUAUCAUUUAUAUCUUCUUAUAAAUACCAUUUAAUUAAUACGCUUUUAUUUAACGAUUCGUCUAACAUUAAGGUGAUGAAAUUAAGUGGUUUCCUGAAAUUUCUUAUUUCAAUUUUUCUACAGUCGUCUAUUUACCAAAUGAUACUGUUACCGGUAGCUCCUAUCGUAAGCUUUUGUAAUAAAAUUUAAGUUUGAUUGUAUUUUCGUUUAAUUAUUUUAUACAUUUGUUUUAACUUCGUUAUUUUUUGUGCAGUUAUUGAUCGAUAGCAGGGAUAAUAUAAAACAGGAAUAUUAAUAUAUGGACGCAACAACAAUUAGUCAUCAAUCCGAUGAAUCUUCAUGGAAAUUUGGUGACUACACAAACCGGACUCCAUUUCUUGCGCAAGAUGGUUGCCAGAUGUUUACACAUCCUUAUUUCGGACCCUGAAGAAUCUCCAUGACUCACUGUAGAUCUUAGCAUUUUCAUAGUUAAUUUCCUUCAGACCAAACAGUCAACGACCAUUGUCCUCACCUUCCUAGUCAAAAUUACCAUCAACGAAUCCGAUGGUACCGUGCGCUAGACACACUCAUCAAUAGUUUUCCUCUACGACAACAUCGUCAUCAAACUUCACUGGUUUUUCAUCCUUGCAUCAGUCACAUCUCUUGACUGGUUUUCCGUCCAUUGACCAGUCAUCAAUUUAACUUGUUACUACAAAGUUGUUAGAAUAAAGUGUAUAUUAUAACCUGUUACUUCAGUGCUAUAAUCAGUUCAACCAUCUCUAUUAUUCUAACUGAAAUAGGAGAUCGACCAAUUCGUGGCAUCGAUUAUGAAAUCGCAACGGGAAUUUACGACUUUUGUUGGCGGGCUUCUUGGCAAUCGCGUCUCCCCGCGAACGGUCGAAAAAGCUAGUGCAUCUCUCAAGAGGAUAAAGCCUCUCUAGGAUCUCAGGAAU
This is a long non-coding RNA of Bombus impatiens (common eastern bumble bee), 2229 nucleotides long. RefSeq lists it as uncharacterized. Lineage: Eukaryota; Metazoa; Arthropoda; Insecta; Hymenoptera; Apidae. The transcript is spliced from 3 exons. The record is from RefSeq and is a predicted model, not a curated record.